AUGAACGCUGGCGGCGUGUUUAAGGCAUGCAAGUCGCGGGAUCGGCUGGACUUCGGUUCAGCACGGACCGGCAGACGGGAGAGUAACACCCUGGUAACCUACCUCUAAGACGGGCAUAGCCCGGAGAAAUCCGGAUUAAUACCCGAUAGUCAUGGGGGGACGAAAGUCAUUCCCAUGUAAAUCCUACGGGGCUUAGAGAGGGGCCUAGGGCCUAUCAGCUAGUUGGUAAGGUAAUGGCUUACCAAGGCUACGACGGGUAGGGGGCGUGAGAGCGUGACCCUCCUCACUGGGACUGAGAUACUGCCCAGACUCCUACGGGAGGCUGCAGUCAAGAAUCUUCCGCAAUGGGCGAAAGCCUGACGGAGCGACGCCGCGUGUAGGAAGAAGCCCUUCGGGGUGUAAACUACUUUUCUCAGGGAAGAAUUAUUGACGGUACCUGAGGAAUAAGAGGUUGCUAACUCUGU
This 464-nucleotide ribosomal RNA is filed under the name uncultured bacterium. RNAcentral's name for it is "bacterial SSU rRNA". It matches the Rfam family "Bacterial small subunit ribosomal RNA", at positions 29 to 506 of the family's 1533-position model. The record is from RNAcentral.